Molecule: non-coding RNA, 581 nt
Organism: Pelobates cultripes (western spadefoot toad)
Lineage: Eukaryota; Metazoa; Chordata; Amphibia; Anura; Pelobatidae
Source: the annotation of a GenBank genome assembly
CAAUCCACGACCACCUCUCCCAGCUGCUCACUGUGUAGAGGAAGAGGAGUGCUGGGGCAUCCUGCAUGAGGCAGUCCCUGUUCAAGCUGCCCACCGGGAUAACAGACAGCACCACCGGCAAUGUGUAAAGGUCAAUGGGAAGGAGGUCAGUGGUCUACGGGAUACCGGUGCAACCAUGACUUUGCUUCCGAAGCACCUGGUGUCCGAGGCCCAACAUACCGGGGACACGGUCGCAGUGCGAGUAGCCGGGGGUGCCGCGUUUCAUCUACCCGUUGCCCGGGUACAUUUGGAUUGGGGAGUGGGCGCUAGACAUGUAAAUGUGGGGGUCAUAAAGGACUUACCAGCAGAUGUUCUUCUUGGCAAUGACUUGGCGCCCCUUGUUUCAGCCUUCGCUCCCAUGGGUCCUGCGGAAGUUGAUGCUGUCACGACCCGUGCCGCCGAGACCGGCCCACCUGCUGCUGAGACCCAGGUAAGACUCUCUACCCCGACUUGUACCUUAGACCAGGCCCCUUUAGGCUGGGACACCCCAGAGAUGUACGGGAAGGAAACUAGGGAAGACCCGACGUUAGCAAAGUACAGGG